Molecule: ribosomal RNA, 253 nt
Filed under: uncultured bacterium
Lineage: Bacteria
Description: partial 16S ribosomal RNA
Rfam family: Bacterial small subunit ribosomal RNA
Source: RNAcentral
UACAGAGGGUGCAAGCGUUAAUCGGAAUUACUGGGCGUAAAGGGUGCGUAGGCGGUUAGAUAAGUUAGAUGUGAAAUCCCCGGGCUUAACCUGGGAAUGGCAUUUAAAACUGUGUAGCUAGAGUAGAGUAGAGGGAAGUGGAAUUUCCGGUGUAGCGGUGAAAUGCGUAGAUAUCGGAAAGAACACCAGUGGCGAAGGCGGCUUUCUGGACUCAUACUGACGCUGAGGCACGAAAGCAUGGGGAGCAAACAGG